RNAcentral lists this ribosomal RNA (439 nucleotides) under uncultured bacterium. RNAcentral's name for it is "partial 16S ribosomal RNA". It matches the Rfam family "Bacterial small subunit ribosomal RNA", at positions 339 to 795 of the family's 1533-position model. The record is from RNAcentral.
CUACGGGGCGCACCAGUGAGGAAUAUUGCACAAUGGGGGGAACCCUGAUGCAGCAACGCCGCGUGGAGGAUGACGCAUUUCGGUGUGUAAACUCCUUUUAUAUGUCAAGAAAAUGACGGUAGCAUAUGAAUAAGCACCGGCUAACUCCGUGCCAGCAGCCGCGGUAAUACGGAGGGUGCAAGCGUUACUCGGAAUUACUGGGCGUAAAGGACGCGUAGGCGGGUUGGAAAGUCAGGUGUGAAAUCCUACAGCUUAACUGUAGAACUGCACUUGAAACUUCUAAUCUAGAGUAUGGGAGGGGGAGAUGGAAUUCGUGGUGUAGGGGUAAAAUCCGUAGAUAUCACUAGGAAUACCUAAAGCGAAGGCGAUCUCCUGGAACAUUACUGACGCUAAGGCGUGAAAGCGUGGGGAGCAAACAGGAUUAGAUACCCGCGUAGUC